GUGCAAGCCACGUACUUCACACGGCUUGAGACAAUCAAUCAGUAAAGAGUUUACUAAAAUGAAGGUGACAGCAUUGAUCCUACUUGUACUGACAUAUUCAUCCUUAACUUCUCCAAGCACAACAGAACUGUUUUUCAGUUAUGCAAACACAACAACAG
Molecule: long non-coding RNA, 158 nt
Organism: Erpetoichthys calabaricus (reedfish)
Lineage: Eukaryota; Metazoa; Chordata; Cladistia; Polypteriformes; Polypteridae
Exons: 4
Source: RefSeq, a predicted model, not a curated record